RNAcentral lists this transfer RNA (73 nucleotides) under Cetobacterium ceti. It matches the Rfam family "tRNA". From Rfam's summary of the family: Transfer RNA (tRNA) molecules are approximately 80 nucleotides in length. Their secondary structure includes four short double-helical elements and three loops (D, anti-codon, and T loops). The record is from Rfam by way of RNAcentral. Lineage: Bacteria; Fusobacteriati; Fusobacteriota; Fusobacteriia; Fusobacteriales; Fusobacteriaceae.
CGCGGGGUAGAGCAGUUGGCAGCUCGUCGGGCUCAUAACCCGAAGGUCGUUGGUUCGAAUCCAACCCCCGCCA